RNAcentral lists this ribosomal RNA (449 nucleotides) under uncultured bacterium. Its description in RNAcentral is "partial 16S ribosomal RNA". It matches the Rfam family "Bacterial small subunit ribosomal RNA", at positions 29 to 523 of the family's 1533-position model. The record is from RNAcentral.
AACGAACGCUGGCGGCAUGCCUAACACAUGCAAGUCGAACGAAGGCUUCGGCCUUAGUGGCGCACGGGUGCGUAACGCGUGGGAAUCUGCCCCUCGGUUCGGAAUAACAGUUGGAAAUGACUGCUAAUACCGGAUGAUGACUUCGGUCCAAAGAUUUAUCGCCGAGGGAUGAGCCCGCGUAAGCUUAGGUAGUUGGUGGGGUAAAGGCCUACCAAGCCGACGAUCUUUAGCUGGUCUGAGAGGAUGAUCAGCCACACUGGGACUGGGACACGGCCCAGACUCCUACGGGAGGCAGCAGUGGGGAAUAUUGGACAAUGGGCGAAAGCCUGAUCCAGCAAUGCCGCGUGAGUGAUGAAGGCCUUAGGGUUGUAAAGCUCUUUUACCAGUGAUGAUAAUGACAGUACCUGGAGAAUAAGCUCCGGCUAACUCCGUGCCAGCCGCCGCGGUAA